Molecule: ribosomal RNA, 440 nt
Filed under: uncultured bacterium
Lineage: Bacteria
Description: partial 16S ribosomal RNA
Rfam family: Bacterial small subunit ribosomal RNA
Source: RNAcentral
CCUACGGGAGGCAGCAGUGGGGAAUAUUGGACAAUGGGGGGAACCCUGAUCCAGCGACGCCGCGUGAGUGAAGAAGUAUUUCGGUAUGUAAAGCUCUAUCAGCAGGGAAGAAAAUGACGGUACCUGACUAAGAAGCCCCGGCUAACUACGUGCCAGCAGCCGCGGUAAUACGUAGGGGGCAAGCGUUAUCCGGAUUUACUGGGUGUAAAGGGAGCGUAGACGGCAGCACAAGUCUGGAGUGAAAUGCCGGGGCUUAACCCCGGAACUGCUUUGGAAACUGUGCAGCUAGAGUGCAGGAGAGGUAAGUGGAAUUCCUAGUGUAGCGGUGAAAUGCGUAGAUAUUAGGAGGAACACCAGUGGCGAAGGCGGCUUACUGGACUGUAACUGACGUUGAGGCUCGAAAGCGUGGGGAGCAAACAGGAUUAGAUACCCCGGUAGUC